AAACUUUACAAUGCAGGCAACUGCGAUAAGGGGACAUCGAGUGGCACGCAUAAUGGGUCUGUCCACCGUACGGGUGUAGCAAGGGCCGGCAAGACCGGUGCCAGCCGCCGCGGUAAUACCGGCGGCUCGAGUGGUGGCCGAUAUUAUUAGUAGUAAAGGGUCCGUAGCCGGCUUAGUAGUCUCUAGGGAAAUCCAGCGGCUUAAUCGUUGGGCUCCAUGAGAUACU
Molecule: ribosomal RNA, 226 nt
Filed under: uncultured archaeon
Lineage: Archaea
Description: partial 16S ribosomal RNA
Rfam family: Archaeal small subunit ribosomal RNA
Source: RNAcentral